This 756-nucleotide ribosomal RNA is filed under the name uncultured bacterium. RNAcentral describes it as "bacterial SSU rRNA". It matches the Rfam family "Bacterial small subunit ribosomal RNA", at positions 8 to 796 of the family's 1533-position model. The record is from RNAcentral.
AGAGUUUGAUCAUGGCUCAGAAUCAACGCUGGCGGCGCGCCUAACACAUGCAAGUCGAACGAGAAAGUGGAGCAAUCCAUGAGUAAAGUGGCGUACGGGUGAGUAACACGUGGAUCAUCUACCCUCUAGUGGGGAAUACCGCUGGGAAACCGGCGACAAUACCGCAUAAGCUCGAGAGAGGAAAGCAGCAAUGCGCUGGAGGAGGAGUCCGCGGUCGAUUAGUUAGUUGGCGGGGUAAAGGCCCACCAAGACUGUGAUCGAUAGCCGGCCUGAGAGGGCACACGGCCACACUGGCACUGAAACACGGGCCAGACUCCUACGGGAGGCAGCAGUGGGGAAUCUUGCACAAUGGGGGAAACCCUGAUGCAGCGACGCCGCGUGAGCGAUGAAGCCCCUCGGGGUGUAAAGCUCUUUCGGCAGGGAAGAUUAUGACGGUACCUGCAAAAGCAGCUGCGGCUAACUACGUGCCAGCAGCCGCGGUAAUACGUAGGCAGCAAGCGUUGUUCGGAGUUACUGGGCGUAAAGGGUGCGUAGGCGGCUUUUUAAGUUUGGUGUGAAAUCUCCCGGCUCAACUGGGAGGGUGCGCCGAAUACUGAGAGGCUAGAGUGUGGGAGAGGAAAGUGGAAUUCCUGGUGUAGCGGUGAAAUGCGUAGAUAUCAGGAGGAACACCGGUGGUGUAAACGGCUUUCUGGACCAUAACUGACGCUGAGGCACGAAAGCGUGGGUAGCAAACAGGAUUAGAUACCCUAGUAGUCC